ACAUGCUUCGGGUCUUGGUGUCAUAAUAACUUACGAAUCGCAUGGGCCUUGUGCCGGCGAUGGUUCAUUCAAAUUUCUGCCCUAUCAACUUUCGAUGGUAGAGUAGUGGUCUACCAUGGUUUCAACGGGUAACGGGGAAUUAGGGUUCUAUUCCGGAGAGGGAGCCUGAGAAACGGCUACCACAUCCAAGGAAGGCAGCAGGCGCGCAAAUUACCCAAUCCCGACACGGGGAGGUAGUGACAAUAAAUACUGAUACAGGGCUCUUUUGGGUCUUGUAAUUGGAAUGAGUACAAUUUAAAUCCCUUAACGAGGAACAAUUGGAGGGCAAGUCUGGUGCCAGCAGCCGCGGUAAUUCCAGCUCCAAUAGCGUAUAUUAAAGUUGUUGCAGUUAAAAAGCUCGUAGUUGAAUUUUAGGCCUGGUUGGACGGUCUGCCUUUGGUUUGUACUGUCCUGACUGGGUCUUACCUUCUGGUGAGCUGUCGUGUUGUUUACUCAGUGCGGCAGGGAACCAGGACUUUUACUUUGAAAAAAUUAGAGUGUUUAAAGCAGGCAUUCGUUGAAUACAUUAGCAUGGAAUAAUAGAAUAGGACUUUGGUUCUAUUUUGUUGGUUUCUAGGACCGAAGUAUGAUUAAU
RNAcentral lists this ribosomal RNA (634 nucleotides) under uncultured fungus. RNAcentral's name for it is "SSU rRNA". It matches the Rfam family "Eukaryotic small subunit ribosomal RNA", at positions 232 to 873 of the family's 1831-position model. Lineage: Eukaryota; Fungi. The record is from RNAcentral.